This 209-nucleotide long non-coding RNA is filed under the name Nicotiana benthamiana. RNAcentral's name for it is "long non-coding RNA (NBEN_LNC019032)". The record is from RNAcentral. Lineage: Eukaryota; Viridiplantae; Streptophyta; Magnoliopsida; Solanales; Solanaceae.
GGGGGGAGAAGAACAGUGGAAGUAAAAGGAAGCUACGGGACUAACGCUUUGGCUUAUCACUAAGAGAAGAGAACAAGACUGAGAAAUUUGGAUUUAUUGCAUCAAUGGAACCGUUUCAAAAGAAUAAGUUCUGCCAUUUUUAUAGAGUGCCAGUCAAGUGUGGAAUAAACAAUAUGAUUUUGUAAAAGCUAUUUAUGUUUUAAUCAGAC